This 465-nucleotide ribosomal RNA is filed under the name uncultured bacterium. RNAcentral describes it as "bacterial SSU rRNA". It matches the Rfam family "Bacterial small subunit ribosomal RNA", at positions 30 to 490 of the family's 1533-position model. The record is from RNAcentral.
AUUGAACGCUGGCGGAAUGCUUUACACAUGCAAGUCGAACGGCAGCACGGGGCAACCUGGUGGCGAGUGGCGAACGGGUGAGUAAUACAUCGGAACGUGCCCAAUCGUGGGGGAUAACGUAGCGAAAGUUACGCUAAUACCGCAUACGAUCUACGGAUGAAAGCGGGGGAUCGCAAGACCUCGCGCGAAUGGAGCGGCCGAUGUCAGAUUAGGUAGUUGGUGGGGUAAAGGCUCACCAAGCCAACGAUCUGUAGCUGGUCUGAGAGGACGACCAGCCACACUGGAACUGAGACACGGUCCAGACUCCUACGGGAGGCAGCAGUGGGGAAUUUUGGACAAUGGGCGCAAGCCUGAUCCAGCCAUUCCGCGUGCAGGAUGAAGGCCUUCGGGUUGUAAACUGCUUUGUACGGUAACGAAAGGUCCUGGUUAAUACCUGGGCGUCACUGACGGUACCGUAAGAAUAAG